Molecule: long non-coding RNA, 105 nt
Organism: Nanorana parkeri
Lineage: Eukaryota; Metazoa; Chordata; Amphibia; Anura; Dicroglossidae
Exons: 4
Source: RefSeq, a predicted model, not a curated record
AGUCAAGCAGAUCACAGAUCUGCUUGAUCUCGAUUUCUUUGCUUAGAUAUCUAAUUUAAUUCUCUCACCCCUCUGCAAACUGGAUUAAGAAAGUCAAUACUGCCU